AACAUCGCGCACCUGCGGGAACCUGCGGAGGGAUCAUUACUGAGUCACGUGCUCAAACAACCCUUCUGUGGACCUGAAAUAAAACCGUUGCCUCGGCGGGCGGUCCCCCCCAAACCAACCCCACGUGGUGGGUUAGGGGAGACCAGACAGUCCGGUACGCUUAAGGCGUCCGGCGCCAGCCGCUGGCCCCAAACAAUUAAACUCUAGUAAUCUUUACCUUCUGAAUUUCAAUAUUUAAAA
This 240-nucleotide unclassified non-coding RNA is filed under the name soil metagenome. RNAcentral's name for it is "partial contains 5.8S ribosomal RNA, internal transcribed spacer 2, and large subunit ribosomal RNA". The record is from RNAcentral.